Molecule: non-coding RNA, 260 nt
Organism: Chelonoidis abingdonii (Abingdon island giant tortoise)
Lineage: Eukaryota; Metazoa; Chordata; Testudines; Testudinidae
Source: RefSeq, a predicted model, not a curated record
AUUAGACAAAAGAGGUCCCAGGACAGACCUCAUGCACUUGGGACUCUCUGCUUGAUACCGGCUGCCAACUAGAUAUGAAGCCAUUGAUUACUACCCGUGGAGCCCGAUUAUCUAGCCAGCUUUCUAUCUACCUUACAGUCCAUUCAUCCAGCCCAUACUUCUUUAAAUUGCUGGCAAUAAUACUGUGGGACACUGUAUCAAAAGCUUUGCUAAAGUCAAGGAAUAACAUGUCUACUACUUUCCCCUCAUCCACAGAGCCA